Long non-coding RNA from Hippopotamus amphibius kiboko, 2713 nucleotides. RefSeq lists it as uncharacterized. The transcript is spliced from 3 exons. The record is from RefSeq and is a predicted model, not a curated record. NCBI's taxonomy places the organism in Eukaryota, Metazoa, Chordata, Mammalia, Artiodactyla, Hippopotamidae.
CCCAGUGAUUCCCUGAGCCGCCAGGACCCGGAAGCUGUGGAUGGAGGGAGAGGUGGGUAGCCGGGGUGGGAAUCCCGGCAGCACCCCACGUUAAUUACCCCAGCCCCCAGGCGUGUCCCAGCUCGUGACCGUCGGGCGAAUGGACCCAGCGGUGCUAGUGCAUCCUGACAGUGGGACCCCACUCUCGACCACGACACAGGCACCAACAGCAGUGUGCUGAGAGAAGGAAGCCGGACACGAAUCUUCCCGCUGGCAUCGUCACCAUCACUGCCUUGUCGUCAGCAUCAGAUCCUCAAAGCAGCUCUUCAAAUCCAACCCCUACAUUUGGCAGGAGGCAGGAUCAGAGACGGCAAGCCUUCUCGCCAAGGUCACACAGCAGCGAUGCAGAGCCACCACCCACAACACGAGGCCGGUGCUUAGGGUUCAGUGAGUGACUCUCAGCCAGGUGGAAACCAGGCAACGGGGCAUCGAAAGCCUUGCUCCUGAGACAGGAGAGGAGUUCCCGCUGGGCUCACAUUUCCAAUCAACCUUACUUGGCGAGAGUUCCUCCCGUCCUCCAGGCCUUGCGGCAACUGGCUUCUCAGGUGGCCCGGCCGCGAAGGGCCUGAUCGGGAAGCCAGGGCUCGCCCCCCGCCCCCACGCCACUGCCACCGCUGCUGUCCCAGCAAGGGCCCUGAGGUUUCCAGCCCCCCUGGGCUUUGCUUUUCCAGGUCCUUCCCGGCCCAGCCCCACCAGGGACGCCGUGGUCGGUGAGGCCGGGAACAGCUGCCCGGCACCUCCCAAAAGCCUCAAACAUGGCACGCGGCGGGAGCCCCCGGCCAUCACGCUGCCACGCGGUGAAUCGGGCACCAUCGGAGUCACAAAGACCCAUUAAAACGAGAGGAGAAACAGCUUUCCGAUCCCCCAGAGCACCCCGGCCAGCUGCUCCCCGCUCCCACCUCGUUGCCCCCGCGGGGCUGCUCCCUCCGCGCCCGGCCACCUGCCCCUGACAGCGGGGAUAUUGAUGCCGCCUCCUGGGCCCGGGCGUCGGCCGCUGGGGCCGAGGGGCAGAGGCCCCGCAGAGGCAAACAGCUCCCGGAUGUUCGACUCAAUGGCUGUGAGGAGAGAUGAGAAAUUGCCUUUCUGACCCAAAACCGGAGUUCACAGCUGCACUUCAUUACAGAUUUCUCCAGGAGGCCCUGGGAGAGGCCAGCUCGGAAGGGCUCACCUGUUAACAGCAGCUGCGCCUGCCUCUUUCAUAAGCACGUUGGUGGUUUCCUGCCCGGGGCUGCGGGGGCAGGAGGUGCGGGCGGCACGGGCGGGCUGCCAGCGGUGCCCCGAAGCCCCCCCACCCCUGCCACUUUGCAUUAACUCAGCGGAUGGAGGGAGGAAGAGGCGCCAGAUAAGUGAGCGGGAGGGAGAGGAAAUGGCCACAGACCUGGGCCUUGCUCUCCUUAGAAGGUACCAGAAGGCAGGGGACACAUCUUCCCCCCGGGGGCCCCACCUUGUUCCUCUGAGUCUCACGUCCGCUUCGCUGGGCUAACGUGCACCUGUGUCAGGGGCCUGGAGCACCUCGGGGUACGUAGCAGCUGCUCAAUAAAUGCCCCCUCCCCUCCGCCCUUACAGCAGCCGCUCCGUGCUUUUCAAAUGCCACCGUUCAAUACCUGGCAGUUACUUAAAGAGCACAGGAACCAGGGGUUCUCCACCCUGGCUGCAUGUUAGAAUCAUCUAGAGGGCUUGUGGCGCUCAGAGCCAGCUUCGGCAGGAGGAGAGCCAGGCUGAGGAGACAGCCCUCGCCAGCCACCAGGCUGCCCUGCCCUUCCUUCCAGCUGUGCUCUCCCGCCCCCAUUAAGGUUUUCACUCAUGUCCCCCAACAGUGAGACAGAGCAGGCCCUGAGGUAUAGGAAGCCGUCCCCCGAGGCUGCCACCCCAGGAUAGAGCAUAUCAGCCUGGCAGUGAGAAGCUGUGUGAUGCCAGGCAAGUAGCUUAACUUCUCUGGGCCUUUGCCGACAAGGCUGGGUACUGGCUGGGUACAGACAGCCUCAAAGAUGUGCCUGGAAGGCACCCUAGAGUCUGGCCUCACACCUAAAAUCCUGUCUCAUUUCUUCUUCUGUGCGUUUCUGAGCUCUUUGUGGUCUGGGCGGAAAUGGGGUUUCAGUUCAGUCUCUGCCACUAGAUCCCUGCGUCAUGCCAAAAAAGCUGCGCCCUGCAAAGCCUCAGUCACCUCACCUGGGAAGUGGGAAGGACGCACCAACCUCACAGGUCAUUGUGAGGGUGAAACAGGCACCCAGCAAGCGCCUGGCCCAGUGGCGGUGACGGCUGGCGUGUCCUGAGUCCUGAGACCUCACGGCACACCCGCGGGGCAGGUUCUUUUAGGAGCCACAUUCUCCAGGUGAGAAAGCCAAGGUCUGGAGAGGUCACUCACCCAAGGUCAACUGGUAAGGCUGGGAUGUGAACCCUGAACUUGUGAGUCCAAGGUCCUGGCCCCCACAUGCUCCCAUGGGCCUCCUGCUGGUGCCUCUUCUUGUCCUAGACCCUCCCAACAGGGCCACCAGGACCUCGGUACGGCCGGAGCCGAUGGGUUGCAGGACCAGGACACACACAGGGCCCUGGGCCGUGAAGGGGGUGGGAGGGCUGUGCCCCCCAUCUCGCCUGUGCCCUCCACUCAUGUCCAGGAAUAGAGCAGGGAAGGCACGGGGGCCCAGGGUGAGUCCACACGGGGUCAGCGCCUGGA